This 253-nucleotide ribosomal RNA is filed under the name uncultured bacterium. RNAcentral describes it as "partial 16S ribosomal RNA". It matches the Rfam family "Bacterial small subunit ribosomal RNA", at positions 524 to 776 of the family's 1533-position model. The record is from RNAcentral.
UACGGAGGGUGCGAGCGUUGUCCGGAAUCACUGGGCGUAAAGGGCGCGUAGGUGGCCGAGCAAGGUCGCGGUGAAAGCCCGGGGCUCAACCCCGGGUCGGCCGUGGCAACUACUGGGCUGGAGCACUGUAGGGGCGGGUGGAAUUCCGGGUGUAGCGGUGGAAUGCGUAGAGAUCCGGAAGAACACCGGUGGCGAAGGCGGCCCGCUGGGCAGUUGCUGACGCUGAUGCGCGAAAGCGUGGGUAGCAAACAGG